GGAUUCCCCUAGUAACUGCGAGUGAAGCGGGAAAAGCUCAAAUUUAAAAUCUGGCAGUCUUUGGUUGCCCGAGUUGUAGUCUGGAGAAGUGUUUUUCUGUGCUGGACCGUGUAUAAGUCUCUUGGAAUAGAGCGUCAUAGAGGGUGAGAAUCCCGUCUUUGACACGGACUACCAGUGCUUUGUGAUGCACUCUCAAAGAGUCGAGUUGUUUGGGAAUGCAGCUCAAAAUGGGUGGUAAAUUCCAUCUAAAGCUAAAUAUUGGCGAGAGACCGAUAGCGAACAAGUACCGUGAGGGAAAGAUGAAAAGCACUUUGGAAAGAGAGUUAAACAGUACGUGAAAUUGCUGAAAGGGAAACGCUUAAAGUCAGUCAUGUCAUUUGGAACUCAACCUUGCUUUUUUGCUUGGUGCACUUUCUGAAUGAUGGGCCAGCAUCAAUUUUGACUGUUGGAAAAGGGCUGGGGGAAUGUGGCAUCCUUUGGAUGUGUUAUAGCCUCUGGUCACAUACAAUGGUUGGGAUUGAGGAUUGCAGCGCGCCGCAAGGCAGGGGUUCCCCCACUUUCGCGCUUAGGAUGCUGGCAUAAUGACUUUAAACGACCCGUCUUGAAACACGGACCAAGGAGUCUAACAUGCCUGCGAGUGUUUGGGUGGAAAAACCCAAGCGCGUAAUGAAAGUGAAAG
This 679-nucleotide ribosomal RNA is filed under the name Polyporus radicatus. RNAcentral's name for it is "eukaryotic LSU rRNA". It matches the Rfam family "Eukaryotic large subunit ribosomal RNA", at positions 72 to 731 of the family's 3401-position model. The record is from RNAcentral. Lineage: Eukaryota; Fungi; Basidiomycota; Agaricomycetes; Polyporales; Polyporaceae.